Molecule: long non-coding RNA, 209 nt
Filed under: Prunus persica (peach)
Lineage: Eukaryota; Viridiplantae; Streptophyta; Magnoliopsida; Rosales; Rosaceae
Description: long non-coding RNA (PPER_LNC005900)
Source: RNAcentral
UAAUUCCUUAUUACGAUAUAUCCUUUUUGUAGGUACAAUUGCGCCGAAGGAAGUGAAAGAAUAAAUCAACCCAAAGGAAGUGCCUGAAGCCCAUUGGUUAAUUUGAACAAUUGUGUGUCAAAUUUGUUCCCACAGUUUGACCCAUUGGUUAUAAGAGACUAAAUCCGACUUAGCGGCUCUACUCACACAUGCGCCAUUAUACAUAUUAC